Molecule: ribosomal RNA, 508 nt
Filed under: uncultured bacterium
Lineage: Bacteria
Description: partial 16S ribosomal RNA
Rfam family: Bacterial small subunit ribosomal RNA
Source: RNAcentral
CGAACGCUGGCGGCGUGCUUACCACAUGCAAGUCGAACGAAGAGCGAUGGAAGCUUGCUUCUAUCAAUCUUAGUGGCGAACGGGUGAGUAACGCGUAAUCAACCUGCCCUUCAGAGGGGGACAACAGUUGGAAACGACUGCUAAUACCGCAUACGAUCUAAUCUCGGCAUCGAGGAUAGAUGAAAGGUGGCCUCUACAUGUAAGCUAUCACUGAAGGAGGGGAUUGCGUCUGAUUAGCUAGUUGGAGGGGUAACGGCCCACCAAGGCGAUGAUCAGUAGCCGGUCUGAGAGGAUGAACGGCCACAUUGGGACUGAGACACGGCCCAGACUCCUACGGGAGGCAGCAGUGGGGAAUCUUCCGCAAUGGACGAAAGUCUGACGGAGCAACGCCGCGUGAGUGAUGACGGCCUUCGGGUUGUAAAGCUCUGUUAAUCGGGACGAAAGGCCUUCUUGCGAAUAGUGAGAAGGAUUGACGGUACCGGAAUAGAAAGCCACGGCUAACUACGUG